This 254-nucleotide ribosomal RNA is filed under the name uncultured bacterium. RNAcentral describes it as "partial 16S ribosomal RNA". It matches the Rfam family "Bacterial small subunit ribosomal RNA", at positions 524 to 776 of the family's 1533-position model. The record is from RNAcentral.
UACGUGAGUGGCAAGCGUUAUCCGGAAUCAUUGGGCGUAAAGCGUCCGUAGGGGGGUGUUCAAGUGAAAUGUUAAAGCCUUCGACCCAAUCGAAGAAAUGCGUUUCAUACUGUUCAUCUAGAAGAUGGGAGAGGUAAAUAGAAUUUCCGGAGUAGGGGUUAUAUCCGUAGAUACCGGAAGGAAUACCAAUAGCGAAGGCAAUUUACUGGCCCAUUCUUGACCCUCAAGUGACGAAAGCGUGGGGAGCAAACAGG